GUUCAGAUAGCUCAGUUGGUGGAACUUGAGACUCUUAAUCUCAGGGUUGUGGGUUCAAGCCCCAUGUUGGACA
This is a non-coding RNA of Podarcis lilfordi (Lilford's wall lizard), 73 nucleotides long. NCBI's taxonomy places the organism in Eukaryota, Metazoa, Chordata, Lepidosauria, Squamata, Lacertidae. The record is from the annotation of a GenBank genome assembly.